Trichobilharzia regenti is the source of this 773-nucleotide non-coding RNA. Lineage: Eukaryota; Metazoa; Platyhelminthes; Trematoda; Strigeidida; Schistosomatidae. The record is from Rfam.
AUACUGGCUGAUUCUGCCAAUAGACAACGCUUCUCCCAGAGAUUAAGUCAGGCAUAUCUAAGUACAUAACUUGGAAAGCUGAAAGUGAGAAUGGCUUAUUAAAUCAGCUGUGAUAUCUUUGAUCAAAUGGACAGUUGUAGUAAUUCUACACUUAAUAAAUGAAUUUGUACACAAAUAUAUGUGGGAACACAUUCACUUAUUUGAACAGAACAAACCCUAGGGAGUUUCGGCUGUCUCUGCUACGCCCUGUGAUAAAUCUAGAUAACUUUGCAGCCGGCGAUCGGUUUUGUAUCGGUGACGGAUCUCCCUGUCCUAUCAAUUUAUUCUCUACCAUGAUAACAACUGCUAACGAGAAAUCAAGGUCCGAUUCCGGAGAAGGAGCCGGAGAAAAGGCUACCACAUCCAACGACAUCAGUAGACACGAAAAUUACUCACUCCCGAUAUGAGUAGCCAGUGAAGAAAGAUAUGAAUACGGAACUCAUUUGAGGGUCCAUCGUCUGAAUGAGUGAAAUUUAAAUCCUUUGACGUGGACCAAUGGGAGGCAAACUUUGGCGACUCUAGCUCCAAAAGUGGAUGCUGAAGUUAUUUCAGUUCAAAAGCUCGUGGCUGUAUUUGGAUUGUGUGAUCAGAUGCUAUCUCUUGUUUAUGGUUUUGGCUACCCCCGGGAUUUGUGUUCGGCUGCAUGUAGUGGCUAUGCAACCUAUAAGUCUUUAGGUUCCGAAGGAAGUAGGGUUACAAAGCUGAAACUUAAAGGACAGAGUGAAAGGUCUUCC